AGAGCGUUUAUGUAGUUUUAUGUAGCGUUCGUCUGUCCUCUAAUAGCUACACAGAAAAAGUUACAGCAUGUCAUGAACAAUACUCGUCACAUGUGUCCGCGUCUACUGUGCAUCUGUUAGAGGACAGACGCACAAGAAAACGAGAGUCACGCGUUGGUCAUCACACCCCAAUAUUGCCACAUAGUAUGCGUUAUCCAUUCUGCGUCCCUUAUGAAGGACUGCGCCUUUGAAUACAUACUUUAUCAAAGAGCUUGGCGAUGUCAAAUCUAUGGUAAGAUCAAUUUUCACGGCGAUGAACUCCAUGGUUUUAAGCACAUAACCAGAUUUCUAGGAUGCGAAGAUAUAGCAGUACUUUUUCUGUGGGCGGUUUUAAGGUUGCAUUUGUGGCAUGUAACUUUGUUUUCCGUGCCUAGAGUUUCUUCGUUCCAAAAUUCUUCUACACAAUCUUUUGUUUCUAUUGCAAUCCCUUCGCCUUUCUUAGCAAUUUCCGCUGUAAUACAAUCAACAGCAAUCAAAACGAGAUCUAUUUUUUUAUACAACAAUCAACUAUUUUCUGACAGUUACAAUAGAGUUAACAAGAGGGAGCGAGUACCGUAAUGAUUAGAAUAAGUGCCCUCCUUUCAAAUAGGCGCCCCCCUUUUACAGCUUUGCCCUUUUACAGCUUUGCUCUCAAUUCGUUCAGAAGCUGGUAUUUACCGCCGAAAUGAAGUAAGCGCUCCCUCUCCAAUAAUCAACCCCCAAAGACCCAAAAAAAUAAGCUUAUUUAAAUCAUUACGGUAUCUGAGGCGAAGCGAUGGUUGGCCGUGUGCGUGCUUGUAUAAAGUUUGCUACGUAACUUGUGCGUCUUUAUUAAACAUCUAUUGUACAUAACUACAUAUUAGAAAGCAAAGGCUUACGACGCAGAAUGGCCACAACUCCCUUCUCGACAAUCCAGCAGCGACGAAAAGACGGUAAGCACAACUUGGAACACGUUAUUGUCAUUGUUAUCAUUAAUAUUUCUAUUAUUAUUGUUGUUAUUAUUGUUAUCAUUAUUGUUAUCAUUAUCAUCGUUAUCGUCGUCGUCAUCGUUAUUGUUAUAUUAAUAACGUUUUAGGAGGCAAAGGCUUACAACGCAGAAUACAACUCUUCAAUUGAGGAGGUGAUUACGUCUUCGGCGACGAUAGAGCAGUUGACGCGUUACAAAAUGUUGUCCGGCACUCUUCUUUUUUCUACUGUGAAAUUGCCGGCUUCUUCAGAGUUUGUUCUCGAUCUUGGGGACUGGGAAAAAAUCAAGCCUAAUGCGGAAAAGAAGAAUUGUCUCCAAAGAGUGUGGACAGAUAUUUUAUACAAAUACGUAAAAACCUGUUGUCCGUUAGCAUUCAAAUGGCAUUCUGUGAAGAGGUUGAAUUCUCGACAAUAUGGCGCAGAGUUUGUCUUUAUAGCGAAAGGCUACUGCUCCUUCGAUACAUGCAAUUUAAAAUUCAAAGUCUUUAUGAAAAGCUCCGAUGAAGAAAAACGAAGAAUCCACGUUGACCUUGGAGGCUCAGUUCUUCACGACGCCUCUUUGCAAAAGGCUCUCUUUAUCAAAGGUUAGACGCGCCAGAAGUUCGCAGAGUCCGGAAAACAUCUAUCUGUAUACUUCCACGAGCAAAUCGAUGCAAUGGAAUAGGCUUCUCUUGUAGGGGGUAAUUUGACGGGGGUAGGGUCUUGUGAUGUUAUUAAGCAAAUAUCUAGUGAGGCAAGGAAAAGUCUCAUUUGAGCGAGGAUCCCGAAGUCCUUACAACUUCCUAAAGAAAAUAUGGCUGAGGAUGACAAGAGGUCCUAAAUCAAAGGGUACAUUCAUACAUUGCCGCCGAUCUCCUUACCGUGCACUUACGGACAGAGGGUCAGGUUCGGUUGUGGCACGAUCUCUGUACAAAAGAUGUCUCUUUUAUUGACGCGACGGGCACAGUAAUAGCAGAUUGGAAUGGCCGAAGGGUACUGUACUACGCGCUGAUUGUCCGUCAUCCUGUUGAGGGAGCCCAUCCCUCUGGCAGAGCUCAAUACUUCCAAGCAUGAUGUUCCUACUAUCCAGCAUUUUCUACAUUGCUUUAGGCAUGCAGAGAUGUUAUCUUUGGCGAUGGAAAUGUGCAAAUGCCACGGCAUAUUAACAUGGAUCAGGGUAAGGCCACCCUGGUAGCUUUUCCUUAAGGGAUAAACAAAAAACCAUCCAGAAGUUCUUGGAAAGAAGCUUCCGCUAACCACUGAUACAGAGUUGCCGGGCGACGUACGUUUGAUGACACCUCAUUAUUGUUGCGCAUAUUUUUUGCGAGGGGCACAUAAUAUCUGCAAGAAGAUAUGUAAAGGCAGGUAGUAUAAUUUCAUGAUGUAUACAGUUUCCUUUUUAGUGAAUGCACGUCUUUGAAUGAGUUUACAUUGAUUCUCGAGGACAUUUCUCUUCUGAUGACUAAUAAAAAUCAAAGUAAGCAGAUAUUGGCGGCUUACGGGCGAGUUAAAAAGAUAAUUGAGGCCUUAAAUUGUAAUAACAAAAACAAAGUGCAAGCGGACAUCGAUGACGCAUCACUUAGCGACCUUCCAAGUACAUUGAUAGAAGAUGUAGAACAAGGCGGCCAAAACCCUUUUGUUGCGUAUUUUGAAAAACAUAUCUUCCAGAAAGACAACAAUGUACAGAAGAGCAAUAGGAACAACAACCCUUGUUAUGCACCAGAAUUGCUAGCAUUUAUAAAAUCGAAGUUGCAUUUAGCACCCUUGUUGAGCGCCUUUCCUGCUGAAUACAUUGUAUAGGAAACAGCCCAUUAUAAGCUAUGUUCCUGUCCUCAGAAAAAGUCUCCAAUGGCCACCAAUGGUCAAAUAGAAAAUUACAUGAAACUUAUAAAAUAUAACGAUUUUUUUUACCAGUUUGUCGCCGAGCGGAGAGCUCACAUCAGGGGUCGCGCUCGAGUAUUUGGCGCAACUCUCCACAGGGCUUUAAAAUCUAAGAAAGCGCUAACCCUUCCAAGAAAAUGCAAGAUACGCCACGGGGAUGUCUCUGAAUUUCCUGGAUCGACGGAAUCAUGGGCCAAAAUACCCAAGACAUUGCAAUCGCCCGAUAAGAAGCAUGGGGUCUAUCAGCAACCUCCAAAAUUCUCUGUUCCUGAAUACCCUGAGAAGAACUCCAAGACAAUGAAGAACAAAAAAAUAGAUUUUAACCAAAAGGAACCAAAUUAAGCAAGCAUGUACCGCAACUUACAAAA
Nematostella vectensis (starlet sea anemone) is the source of this 3212-nucleotide long non-coding RNA. RefSeq lists it as uncharacterized. The record is from RefSeq and is a predicted model, not a curated record. The transcript has 2 exons. Lineage: Eukaryota; Metazoa; Cnidaria; Anthozoa; Actiniaria; Edwardsiidae.